This 64-nucleotide transfer RNA is filed under the name Sepiadariidae sp. GS-2020. RNAcentral's name for it is "tRNA-Phe". The record is from RNAcentral. Lineage: Eukaryota; Metazoa; Mollusca; Cephalopoda; Sepiida; Sepiadariidae.
AUUUAAGUAGCUUAAUUAAGAGUGUAACGUUGAAGGUGUUAAGGUGGCAUAUUGUUCUUAAAUA